CAAUCACCAUCCCCAGAAGUGGCAGACAGCUGUGGUGCAUGGCCAGAGCCUGGCAGAGCCGCUGGGAAAGAAGCCAUGGACGGUGGCAGUCCCCCCAGUCCAUCUGGAGCUCACCCGCAGGACCCCCUCAAGGAAUGUUGGGGUGUUCACUGGCAUGCUCAGCAGAGCAGGGCUCAACCUUCCAGAACUAGCCUCUGAGAAGCAGCCAGCUCAAGAGGCAGUUCUGGGACGAACCCUGGGGUUUGGGGAGGGUGGCAUUUCCACUACUAUUUCCUGUGUGCCUUGGGCAAGUCCUCUGGCCCCAGCAGCUUCAAAUGCUGCUGGCAAGGGUGAGGGUCUCUUUCACCCAGCCUUGUCCUUCUGUGGUCCUGGAAAUCCCUUAGGGGAGCUAGUGGUGUCACCUGGCCCCUGAGGCUCAGGAAGCACUCUUUCCAGGCUGUGGAGUGGCGGUACUUUCUUCCCUCAUAGUCCUCAUGGCUGCUUGAAACCAGCUCAGAGGAGCCAUGAGGUGGCUGUGUGGGCUGGAGAGGGUUAGCAAACUAGCUCUGGAAUAGGCUGAGUGAAUCUGGUGCUUAAGCGUUUCAGAGGACAGGAGGGAGGGGCUCCUUGGUGGGCUGACAUAGGUGCAUCUAGAAGCCCCCCACCUUCCUUCCCAUUAUCCGCUGGCUGGUUCUUCUUGCGCAUGUGAGAACAGCACCAGGGGUGCCGGCCUCCCAGAUCUGCCCUUCUGUCUUUCUGUGAGCUGUCUUCUGCUGGAUGUGCAAGCCCUGGGUCGAGUCCCCAUCACUGUGGGGUCUGCAGUGUGAGAGUGGGGUGCCUGAGUCUGGUUUCGCUCAGGUGUCUUCUCAAAUCGGAAACCAUUUACUGUCCAGCUCCCAGUCCAAGUGACACUCUCCCACAAAGCCUACCUUCCCAGUUUCUUCCCAUCAGGUAGUGGAUGAAUGCCACACAGAGAACAGGGCCAGCAAAGGGUCUAAGGACAAGAAAGCUGAAGGGAGGAAGGAGGAACCUACUUACUUAAAAACAUUGCUUUGAAGAGCUGGAGUAUAACUCAGUGGUGGAGCACUUGCCAAGCAUGCACAACACCCUGGGUUUGAUCUUCAGCACUGCAAAAAAUUAGAUUAAAAUAUUUCUUUGAUUGCUGGGCAUGGUGGCGAAUACCUUUAAUCUCAGUGGCUCGGGAGACUAAAGCAGGAGGACCGCAAGUUCAAAGGCAGCCUCAGCAACUUAGUGAGGCUCUAAGCAACUUUGAAAGACCCUGUCUCUUUAAAUUAAAAAAUAAAUAAAAAGGCGGGGGGGCGGGGUGGCUGGAGAUGUGGCUCGAUGGUUAAGCACCCCUGGGUUCAAUCCCUGGUACCAAAAAAAAAAAAUUCCUUUGACUUAAAAAACAAUGUAGGUGGGAAAAUACCAUGACCUUAUGGAAGUGAGGGUGGCAGAGGAUGUCACCAGUCAUCCUGACACAUCACAAGAUUGGGAUUGGGUGCAGAGGCAGCUUUCAACAAGGUAUAUGGGGAC
This 1515-nucleotide long non-coding RNA is filed under the name Marmota monax (woodchuck). The record is from RNAcentral. Lineage: Eukaryota; Metazoa; Chordata; Mammalia; Rodentia; Sciuridae.